This 198-nucleotide microRNA precursor is filed under the name Oryza brachyantha (malo sina). RNAcentral describes it as "MIR812 microRNA precursor family". It matches the Rfam family "MIR812 microRNA precursor family". The record is from Rfam by way of RNAcentral. Lineage: Eukaryota; Viridiplantae; Streptophyta; Magnoliopsida; Poales; Poaceae.
UCUCCGUCCCGAAAUAAACCAAUCUUUCAUAUUUUUGAUUAUUUGUCUUAUUUAAAAAAAUUUACGAUUAAUAUUUUUAUUUUUAUUGAAUGAUAAAUCAUGAAUAGUAUUUUACGUGUAACUAAUUUUUUAAAAUUUAUUGAAAAAUUUUCAAAUAAGACGGAAGGUCAAACGCUGGACACAAAAAGUUGCCUUACU